Obba rivulosa is the source of this 106-nucleotide non-coding RNA. The record is from the annotation of a GenBank genome assembly. Lineage: Eukaryota; Fungi; Basidiomycota; Agaricomycetes; Polyporales; Gelatoporiaceae.
GGCAACAUGGCCGAGUGGUCUAAGGCGCUGGAAUCAGGUUGUAUUCAAAAUAUCGUCCCGUACAAUCCAGUCCGAAAGGGCGCGAGUUCGAAUCUCGCUGUUGUCA